Molecule: unclassified non-coding RNA, 209 nt
Filed under: Hevea brasiliensis (rubber tree)
Lineage: Eukaryota; Viridiplantae; Streptophyta; Magnoliopsida; Malpighiales; Euphorbiaceae
Source: RNAcentral
CCGCUCAAGCUGCCUCCCUCAUCCCCCGCCGUGGCCUAGCCGGCGCAGCUGAUCAUCAUGGACCUCCAAAGGUUAAUUUUUGGCAAGACCCAAUGAACCCAUCUAAGUGGAAGGAAGAGCACUUUGUAAUUGUCUCUUUAUCUGGCUGGGGUCUACUCUUCUUUGGUGGAUACAAGUUCUUUACGAGAGGCAAAGGCAAGAAGGAAGAG